This 388-nucleotide ribosomal RNA is filed under the name Sutcliffiella horikoshii. RNAcentral's name for it is "Bacillus horikoshii partial 23S ribosomal RNA". It matches the Rfam family "Bacterial large subunit ribosomal RNA", at positions 2539 to 2925 of the family's 2925-position model. Lineage: Bacteria; Bacillati; Bacillota; Bacilli; Caryophanales; Bacillaceae. The record is from RNAcentral.
AUCGCAUCCUGGGGCUGUAGUCGGUCCCAAGGGUUGGGCUGUUCGCCCAUUAAAGCGGUACGCGAGCUGGGUUCAGAACGUCGUGAGACAGUUCGGUCCCUAUCCGUCGUGGGCGCAGGAAAUUUGAGAGGAGCUGUCCUUAGUACGAGAGGACCGGGAUGGACGCACCGCUGGUGUACCAGUUGUCUUGCCAAAGGCAUAGCUGGGUAGCUACGUGCGGACGGGAUAAGUGCUGAAAGCAUCUAAGCAUGAAGCCCCCCUCAAGAUGAGAUUUCCUUUUGCUUCGGCAAGUAAGAUCCCUGAAAGAUGAUCAGGUAGAUAGGUUCGAGGUGGAAGCGUGGCGACACGUGCAGCUGACGAAUACUAAUCGAUCGAGGACUUAACCCAA